This 440-nucleotide ribosomal RNA is filed under the name uncultured prokaryote. RNAcentral describes it as "bacterial SSU rRNA". It matches the Rfam family "Bacterial small subunit ribosomal RNA", at positions 355 to 796 of the family's 1533-position model. The record is from RNAcentral.
UGGGGAAUUUUCCGCAAUGGGCGAAAGCCUGACGGAGCAAUACCGCGUGAGGGAAAAUCUUCGGAUGGACGGCCUAUGGGUUGUAAACCUCUUUUUUCAGGGAGGAAUAAAAUGACGUGUACCUGAAGAAUAAGCAUCGGCUAACUCCGUGCCAGCAGCCGCGGUAAGACGGAGGAUGCAAGUGUUAUCCGGAAUCACUGGGCGUAAAGCGUCUGUAGGUGGUCCAAUAAGUCAACUGUUAAAUCUUGAGGCUCAACCUCAAAAUCGCAGUCGAAACUAUUAGACUAGAGUAUAGUAGGGGUAAAGGGAAUUUCCAGUGGAGCGGUGAAAUGCGUAGAGAUUGGAAAGAACACCGAUGGCGAAGGCACUUUACUGGGCUAUUACUAACACUCAGAGACGAAAGCUAGGGUAGCAAAUGGGAUUAGAUACCCCCGUAGUCC